AACUCUUAGCAAUGGAUAUCUUGGUUCUCGUAACGAUGAAGAACGCAGCGAAAUGCGAUACGUAAUGCGAAUUGCAGAAUUCAGUGAAUCAUCAAAUCUUUGAACGCAAAUGGCGCUUCUGGGAUAGGCCUAGGAGCAUGCCUCUCUGAGUAUCGGUUCUAUCUAUCAACGACAGCGUGCUGGAAACAGACAUGACUGGCGGUUGGAAAAUGAGCGUCUGAUUGCGCAAGCAGAUCAGUCACUUGAAAUAGAUAGAAGCUUGAAUCGCACUAGAGGAAUGUUCUUUCUCGCAAGAGGAAGAGACGGGCUGAUAUGGCUCCAUUCUAUAUGCUAGUGACGUGGAUAGAAGUACCCUUGUGGUCUUUCAAAACGUCUGCUAGUUGAGUGGUGGCUGUUUCGGUGUUGUGUAAGCUCUGGUUCAAGUAGGUUCAACUCAGCUUCUUUUUCGAAUUCCCUUUGUCCUCGGACAUCGGCUGUUUGAAUUAGAUCUCAGAUGAAGCAAGAGGACCCCCUGAAUUUAAGCAUAUUAUUAAGGGGAGGAAAAGAAACUAACAAGGAUUCCCCUAGUAACGGCGAGUGAAGCGGGAUGAAGCUCAAUCUGGGAAUCGAGAGUGGAAGCCCACGCCUCGAGUUGUAUCCUAGAGACGUAUUGUCAGCGUGUGACCUCGGUACAAAUCUUUUGAAACAAGGUAUCAUAGAGGGUGAGAAUCCCGUCCAUGACCGAGAGUUCGCCGCGUACGACGUAUGUUUUCCGAGUCGAGUUGUUUGGGAUUGCAGCUCUAAACGGGUGGUAAAUUUCAUCUAAAGCUAAAUAUCGACGAGAGACCGAUAGCGAACAAGUACCGUGAGGGAAAGAUGAAAAGAACUUUGAAAAGAGAGUUAAAAAGUACUUGAAAUUGUUAAGAGGGAAGCGCUAGCAAGCAGUCAUGACACCAGGCUAUGCUUAGUAGUGGACACCGAAAUCAACUGCGGACCAGAUCGAAAGACUGUGUCGGGAAGAGGACGAGUGGCUGCUGCGUCAUGUAGUCUGGUGUGGGUCAGAGUCAAUUCGGCUCGCGGGUGAGGGCCAGCGGAAAGGUAGGGUCUCCGGACCUGUUAUAGUCCGUUGGUUGUACCGUGGUCUGGAUUGAGGAUUGAUAAUGGACGCCGCAAGGUUUCGGCGCUGCUUUCCUGUUGGGUCGGUUGGCUUAGAGGACAACGUCCUGUGGGCUGGCUUGGCUUGGCACUGGGGGUAGCUGCCAGAUGUCCAUUCGCGAUUCUGACGAAAUGCUUGCUAUCGACCCGUCUUGAAACACGGACCAAGGAGUCUAACAUAUAUGCGAGUAUUUGGGUGCCAAACUCGGAUGCGCAAUGAAAGUAAAGGCAGCUUCGGCUGCUGAGGUAGGAAGGGGUCACUCCCGGCACUAUCGACCGAUCGUCACUUGUGAUUGAUUUGAGUAGGAGCAUAUCUGUUGGGACCCGAAAGAUGGUGAUCUAUGCCUGAACAGGGUGAAGCCAGGGGAAACUCUGGUGGAGGCUCGUAGCGAUACUGACGUGCAAAUCGUUCGUCUGAUUUGGGUAUAGGGGCGAAAGACUAAUCGAACCAUCUAGUAGCUGGUUCCCUC
RNAcentral lists this unclassified non-coding RNA (1604 nucleotides) under uncultured stramenopile. Its description in RNAcentral is "sequence contains 5.8S rRNA gene, ITS2, 28S rRNA gene". The stretch from base 485 to 1604 matches the Rfam family "Eukaryotic large subunit ribosomal RNA", at positions 1 to 961 of the family's 3401-position model. The record is from RNAcentral.